Xenopus tropicalis (tropical clawed frog) is the source of this 1437-nucleotide long non-coding RNA. RefSeq lists it as uncharacterized. The record is from RefSeq and is a predicted model, not a curated record. NCBI's taxonomy places the organism in Eukaryota, Metazoa, Chordata, Amphibia, Anura, Pipidae. The transcript has 2 exons.
AAGUAGUCAUAUAUAAUAAUAGUUAUAUAUGUUCGCUCUUGUAUUCUGAUAGGUAAAACCCUCAUUAGGUAAAUGCAUUCAAGCAUUCAUUUACGUUUGCGCCACAAACAGCAGCUCACACACUGUGCUGCAGCUGAGGAAUCUGGACGUUUGUUUCGCAACAAAAGAGCAGCGGCUGGAAUGUUCCAUGUCGAACGAUGCUAUGUCAAUAAAUAGAAAUGGCGCUCUUGCUGAGCUCAUGGUCUACAUGAACCGGUUUUGUUUCCCAAAUGUGUUCUCAAAAAAGCAGAGUUACGUUUUACUGAAUCUAUCCUAGAAGGGGUGUAUAACAAUCUCACUCUUGUAGCGUAGAAAUGAUUUAUUAAACCAGAUUUUGGCAAAUAAUUCUUUCCUUGUUGUUACUGCUCCCCCCCCAGUCCACGUAACAAAAUGGUACAUCCUUCAUCUUCUUACCAUAUUGGGAGAAUAUCUGGCCUCCCAGCAUCAGCGGACUGUUCCAAGUAACAGAAAGAGGGGAACUUGGUUGUUGAUUACAAGAGCCCUAGCUGUAUUGAAAUGGCUGACAGACGUGAGAGAUGGGAGGAGGAACGUUGUUUUGUGUGACUCCUUUCUGCUACAGGGAAAGGGCAUUUGCAACGUAUAUGAUUCUUAAUGAACCCCGACUGAGAACGUAUUCAAAGGCAGGCUAACGUCGGUUUUCAGUAGGACGAGCCGGGAAACCACAGGAUGUUUUAUUCGUGGAUAAAUAACCACCUUGUAUGGUAUUUCUCUUAUCAGCUUUAUACAGGAGGACAUUAUGCAACGAAGAAAGUAUGUCCAGGGAUUUGUAGGGUUUCUCGGGUCACUGUAGGUUUAAAGCCAUCCAGACAGAAGCCCUUCACACCUCUUGCUGCAGUACCAGCUUUAACUCUUUAAGUCUCCAUGGUGUUUUUUUAAGCAACAUUUAAAACCCGUUCUAUUCAUAGGGAGAUGUAAAUAACCAAUUUGCACUUAGGCAGAGCAGCAGGACAAGUUGAAUAGGCAGUGUGAAUCUCUGUCAAGUGCUGGAAGGAUGUCCUUAACUCCUGAACUGGCUGGAAAAGAAGAAAACCAUGACUGUGAGGCUUCAUGUAGAUUUUACAUUGCAUGCUAAGCAAGCCAGUCAUGCUUAUUUAUUAACAUUGAGCUAAUAAGAACCUGGGCAGUAACCAUAGCAACCAAUCAAUGAGUGUUUUUGUUCCACCAUCUGCAGGUAGAAAAGUUAAUUUGUUACAGUGAGUUACUACUCAGAUUCAGAUUUUCCCUGUAUUGGCAAAUGAGCUGGGCAUUUACCUCAUGUCAAUGCAAUGUGCCUCAGGGCAAUGUGUUUUGCUAUUCACCAGAACGUGUGAGAGAAAGGGUAGAACUCCCAAUGUGCAACUAGCCAACUGGAAAAUAAAAUGGCAAAUAAUAAGCAAA